GAUGAACGCUGGCGGCGUGCCUAAUACAUGCAAGUCGAGCGAACAGACGAGGAGCUUGCUCCUCUGACGUUAGCGGCGGACGGGUGAGUAACACGUUGAUAACCUACCUAUAAGACUGGGAUAACUUCGGGAAACCGGAGCUAAUACCGGAUAAUAUAUUGAACCGCAUGGUUCAAUAGUGAAAGACGGUUUUGCUGUCACUUAUAGAUGGAUCCGCGCCGCAUUAGCUAGUUGGUAAGGUAACGGCGUACCAAGGCGACGAUGCGUAGCCGACCUGAGAGGGUGAUCGGCCACACUGGAACUGAGACACGGUCCAGACCCCUACGGGAGGCAGAAGUAGGGAAUCUUCCGCAAUGGGCGAAAGCCUGAUGGAGCAACGCCGCGUGAGUGAUGAAGGUCUUCGGAUCGUAAAACUCUGUUAUUAGGGAAGAACAAAUGUGUAAGUAACUAUGAACGUCUUGACGGUACCUAAUCAGAAAGCCACGGCUAACUACGUG
RNAcentral lists this ribosomal RNA (497 nucleotides) under uncultured bacterium. Its description in RNAcentral is "partial 16S ribosomal RNA". It matches the Rfam family "Bacterial small subunit ribosomal RNA", at positions 28 to 507 of the family's 1533-position model. The record is from RNAcentral.